This 492-nucleotide ribosomal RNA is filed under the name uncultured bacterium. RNAcentral's name for it is "partial 16S ribosomal RNA". It matches the Rfam family "Bacterial small subunit ribosomal RNA", at positions 29 to 507 of the family's 1533-position model. The record is from RNAcentral.
AGUGAACGCUGGCGGUAGGCCUAACACAUGCAAGUCGAACGGCAGCACAGUAAGAGCUUGCUCUUACGGGUGGCGAGUGGCGGACGGGUGAGGAAUAUAUCGGAAUCUACUUUUUCGUGGGGGAUAACGUAGGGAAACUUACGCCAAUACCGCAUACGACCUACGGGUGAAAGCAGGGGAUCUUCGGACCUUGCGCGAUUGAAUGAGCCGAUGUCGGAUUAGCUAGUUGGCGGGGUAAAGGCCCACCAAGGCGACGAUCCGUAGCUGGUCUGAGAGGAUGAUCAGCCACACUGGAACUGAGACACGGUCCAGACUCCUACGGGAGGCAGCAGUGGGGAAUAUUGGACAAUGGGCGCAAGCCUGAUCCAGCCAUACCGUGUGGGUGAAGAAGGCCUUCGGGUUGUAAAGCCCUUUUGUUGGGAAAGAAAAGCAGCAGGUUAAUACCCCGCUGUUCUGACGGUACCCAAAGAAUAAGCACCGGCUAACUUCGUG